ACGAGCGUAGCUCAGUUGGCUAGAGCGCCACGUUUACACCGUGGAUGUCGGGGGUUCGAAUCCCUCCGCUCGUACCA
Molecule: transfer RNA, 77 nt
Filed under: Candidatus Pacearchaeota archaeon
Lineage: Archaea; Nanobdellati
Description: tRNA-Val
Rfam family: tRNA
About the family: Transfer RNA (tRNA) molecules are approximately 80 nucleotides in length. Their secondary structure includes four short double-helical elements and three loops (D, anti-codon, and T loops).
Source: RNAcentral